Molecule: ribosomal RNA, 749 nt
Filed under: Bacillus subtilis
Lineage: Bacteria; Bacillati; Bacillota; Bacilli; Caryophanales; Bacillaceae
Description: bacterial SSU rRNA
Rfam family: Bacterial small subunit ribosomal RNA
Source: RNAcentral
GCGAUGGGAGCUUGCUCCCUGAUGUUAGCGGCGGGCGGGUGAGUAACACGUGGGUGACCUGCCUGUAUAACUGGGAUAACUCCGGGAAACCGGGGCUAAUACCGGAUGGUUGUUUGAACCGCAUGGUUCAAACAUAAAAGGUGGCUUCGGCUACCACUUACAGAUGGACCCGCGGCGCAUUAGCUAGUUGGUGAGGUAACGGCUCACCAAGGCGACGAUGCGUAGCCGACCUGAGAGGGUGAUCGGCCACACUGGGACUGAGACACGGCCCAGACUCCUACGGGAGGCAGCAGUAGGGAAUCUUCCGCAAUGGACGAAAGUCUGACGGAGCAACGCCGCGUGAGUGAUGAAGGUUUUCGGAUCGUAAAGCUCUGUUGUUAGGGAAGAACAAGUACCGUUCGAAUAGGGCGGUACCUUGACGGUACCUAACCAGAAAGCCACGGCUAACUACGUGCCAGCAGCCGCGGUAAUACGUAGGUGGCAAGCGUUGUCCGGAAUUAUUGGGCGUAAAGGGCUCGCAGGCGGUUUCUUAAGUCUGAUGUGAAAGCCCCCGGCUCAACCGGGGAGGGUCAUUGGAAACUGGGGAACUUGAGUGCAGAAGAGGAGAGUGGAAUUCCACGUGUAGCGGUGAAAUGCGUAGAGAUGUGGAGGAACACCAGUGGCGAAGGCGACUCUCUGGUCUGUAACUGACGCUGAGGAGCGAAACGCGUGGGGAGCGAACAGGAUUAGAUACCCCUGGUAGUCCACGC